AUGGCAGAACUGAAACCAACGCAUAUUAGCUGGCAGCCUUCAGUAAAUGCAAGCGCACACCAUACUGACAGAUAUGCCAGCAAUGAGUUGACCGUGAGGCGUGGACAACCCUUCACUAUUACUCUGUACUUCAACAGACAAAAGUACCCUGGGGAGAGCCUAGCCUUUGUCACUGAAAUAGGUAAUGCUCCCUUAGAUCCCUCCCACACUCACACAGCUGUAAGCACUAUUCCUUCUAGCUUCCCCUUAUUAUCAUAGAAUGGCUUAGGUUAGAGGGGACCUCAAAGAUCACCCAGAUCCAGCCCCCUGCCAUGGGCUGGUUGCCACCCACCAGAUCAGGGCCCAGAGCCCCAUUCAACCCAGCCUUGAAUGCCUCCAGAGAGUUUCAAGCCAUUCUUCCUUGUCCUAUCACUAGCAGACCGUACAAACGUUGGUCCCCCUCUUGCCUGUAAGCUCCCUUCAUGUACUGGAGGGCCAAAAUGAGGUUUCCCUGGAGCCUUAUCUUCUCCAAGCUGAACAAGUCCAACUCCCUCAGCCUGUCUUCAUAGGAGAGGUGCUCCAGCCCUCUGAGCAUCUUCAUGGCCCUCCUCCAGACCCACUCCAACAGCUCACAUCCCUCCUGUACUGGGGACCACAGGCCUGGAUGCAGUACUGCAGGUGGGGCCUCAUGAGGGCACAACCCCCUCCCUGCUCACUGCCAGACCUCUGUUGAUGCAGCCCAGGAUGCUAUUGGCCUUCCAGGCUGUAAGCACACACUGCUGGCUCACAUCUAGCUUUUCAUCCAUCAGGACUCCCAAGUCCUUCUCCAGCAGGGCUGCUCUCAAUGAGUUCUAUUCUGUGUGCAUAUCCAGGUUUGCCUCAGCCCAAGUGCAGCAACUUGCACUUGACCUUGUUAAACCUCAUUAGAUUCUCAUGUGCCCAAUUUUUGAAUGUGUCCAGGUCCCUCUGGAUGAUGUUUCUCCCUUCUAUUUUGCCAACUUACUAUUAUGUUUAGAGAUACAAUUUUUCUUUGUGCAUUUCUAACACUUCUUCCCCCCACAAUAUGUUCCUUUGCGUGGAGCCUCUGUAACCUAAGUGUGAGGUUAAUAUUGAAGUAACCCUUUAGAAUGUAAACUAAUUGACUCCUCUUUCUGGCAGGACCAUCCCCCUCAGAAUCUCAUCGUACAAGGGCUGUGUUUAACCUCUCUGAGGUGGGAGCAAGUGGCUGGAGUGCUGCCCAGGGACCCAGUGAGUCUGGAUAUAUGACCUUUAUAAUAUCUAGCCCAGCUAAUGCCAUCAUCGGACGAUACAAUCUCAUCCUCCAGGUAAACUCGGGGAACAAGAUCUUCUCCAGAUUCCUGGGGCAGUUUGUGAUUCUUUUCAAUCCUUGGUGCCCAGGUAGGUACUGAUGACUUUUCUCUUGAAUGUAACUGAUCUAUUAGCUUGCUCCUUCAAGCUGCCUUUCUUUGGGUUGCUGUAUCUCAGCUAUGCAUUCACAGAUCUGGUUUCACUACAUUAAAAAUGCACCACCUUCCCUCACCUUUUUAAUGAAAUGUGCUCUAUGGGAUGACAUUAUAGACUCUGCCUUCAGGACUGAGCAGAUCACAUAUUCUGUAGAUGAGAGCUAACAGACUUUCGUUUGCACAUGUACAUUUAAGAAAAUAAAGCAAGCAUACAGUAAUGCCCUUUAAUUACACCAAAAUCAAAGAAUACUGCUCUUGUACGUUAUCUGCAAGAGAUAGUAGCCCAGCUAUCCUUUUAAAAACUGAUGGAGGACUAAUGUGAAGAAGACUGGUACUUCCCGUAUCUUCAUCAUGGGUUGAAAAGGGCCUUCUCUUGCUGAUCCCAUUUUUAAUUUCUGCAGCCUCAGCAUACUGCAGAAGAAAUGCAAUUUCCCAAACUCAGAUUUUGCAAAUACAUGACAGAAACCUAGAUUAGCAUUAUACUAUAUCACUCUAAGGUUAAGAGAGCCUGUAAGACAAGAGAAAUUGUUGCCAGAUGAUAAAGUAAGCUGUCCUUAUAAUUUAAAACUAACGAUUUUGCAGAAAAGCCCUCCAGAUUUAUCUGACCACGCAAUGACCACUGCUAAACAAAAACAAGUAUCCUUCAGGUAGGAUGUGGCUAAAUAAGCUGCUGCUCCUGAGAGACGGGAACAGAUUCAAUUUGAGGAUACAUUACCACUAUAGGAAGUGCCAUAGUAAAAGGAAAAUAGAAAAACUAUGUUCCCUGAAAAUGACUGUC
This is a long non-coding RNA of Pavo cristatus (Indian peafowl), 2220 nucleotides long. The record is from Ensembl. NCBI's taxonomy places the organism in Eukaryota, Metazoa, Chordata, Aves, Galliformes, Phasianidae.